AGCCUCCCUGUUCCCUCCCUGUCCCAGACCGUGGGAGUUAAAACAAACACUCCCCAGGGCUGAUUGUCAGUGGGAACCACUCACUGUUUCCCCAAUCCAAGGAACAGAAACAAAGUGAGCAGGCAGAUGCUAGGUGAGGCCACACCACGAGGGGCCAGCCCCAGAAUCUAACCAGAUAGUUGGCUUAGGGUUAAGGGCCUUUUAGAUUUUAAAGUUUCACAGUAGAAAGGAUGUCAAGGGUCUCAAUUCCAAGCCCUGCCUAGGAAGGAAGCCCCCCUGCAGCCUCCUGAUGGCCUGAUGAUGUCUGGUGCCUGACUGUGCAUACCCCCACUCCCACACCAGAUAUGUGACUCACUUCCAACACUGUGAAUUGCUCAGCCCAAAGGGCAUCUGACUUCACACUGAGCUGAGCCUAUCCUGUGUCCCUGGACUCACCCAUUGGUCCCUGCUCUGCAUUGAGGAUCCACAAAGCCCACCUGCCCUCAGACCUGCCACAGCCCUUCAAAGGGCAAGAGGCACAACCAUGACCCUCAGGCUAGCUCUUGAUUCCAGGCCAGAGACCCAGUCCUUUCAAUUAUGUUUUACAGACCACAGUGUGGGAACCCGCCCUCAUCCCUGCCACCUUCUCUCCAAUUUUUCUGUAACUUGGGAGCAUGCAGUGGCAGGCCUGUGCCACAGGACCCAGCCGCAUCUCAUCUCUCCCCAUCUCAUCUCAUGCUUGUUGCCUGCCGCUAUGAUAUAGUCCCUGGGCCUUUGGAGUUUCUUCCAUAUCCUGGUCCUUGGCAUCUGGGCUGGGUGGUCCAUGGACAGUGCUGGACAUUUCCUGAUUCCUGGAACUCAGUCCCAGGAUCAGGGUUUUCUGUUCCCCUUGGCAGGAAUCCCAUGCUGAUUCCCAUAAAGCAAGGCCAGUUCUUGGUCUUCUUAAAGGCGAUGUUGGCCUAGCAGAGGCCUUGCUGGUUGCAUCUGUUCUUUCUGGCCAGAGACCUUGGUGGGUAACAGCUGGUACAGCCUCACAGCCCAUGUGCUCAGGGCCUCAGAGCCAUGUGUGGUGCCAGUGGCCAGCUCCCCAUGAGAUGCAAACAUCAGGGGAUCCAGCUAAUACCUCAUUCCCCCUUGAGGCCUGGCCUAGACUGGGUGUGUGGUGUGUGUGUGUGUACUUGUUCAUCUGCCCAACCAUCCAUCCAUCCAUCCAUCCAUCCAUCCAUCCAUCCAUCCAGGGAUUCAUUCAUUCUACAUGCCUAAUGUGGGCCAGGCUCAAGAGACCCAGAGAGGAGAGCCCUCUGGGAGUCCCCAGUCUGGUAGAGGGAGCAGGAGUAGACACAGUGAGAGCACAUUAGAAACAGGCACAAUCACAGAUGGAAGCCAGGUGCUGUGGGUGCCCCAAGGAGGAAUUGCCUUGGGUGGAUUAGGGAAGACUUCCCAGGUAAGGCUUGUAGCAUAGGUAGGAGUUCAUUUGGUGCCAAUAGUAGAAGUAGUGACCAGGUGCAGUGGCUCACGCCUGUAA
This is a non-coding RNA of Piliocolobus tephrosceles (Ugandan red Colobus), 1504 nucleotides long. The record is from RefSeq and is a predicted model, not a curated record. NCBI's taxonomy places the organism in Eukaryota, Metazoa, Chordata, Mammalia, Primates, Cercopithecidae.